This is a long non-coding RNA of Aegilops tauschii subsp. strangulata, 2041 nucleotides long. RefSeq lists it as uncharacterized. Lineage: Eukaryota; Viridiplantae; Streptophyta; Magnoliopsida; Poales; Poaceae. The record is from RefSeq and is a predicted model, not a curated record.
GCCGCGGACAGCCAUCCACCAUCCUCCCAGGGCAGUGGAAGGAUGUGGUGGCUCCGGCUAACCAGCGAUAGAAGAUGCUGGCCUGGAGUUCCUGUUGGAUGUUGUCGACAGGUUUCCAGUCCGGGGAGAGUUUGGGACAGCUUGGACCAACCAGAUCUGGUUCCUCUGGCGGUCCUUCCGCGGAUUGCUGACACGAGCGCUGAGCCGGCUCACUCGAAUGCCGGCUACUGGUGCGGCCAGCGUGUUGGCGGCGCUAGCCAGGGUAGGCCGCAGGGCGACGGGCGCCGGCGGCGGGAGGCAGUCGGCAGAGUCGACAGACAGGGUGAAUCCGGAGGCGCCUGGAUGGACAAAAAGAUUACAUCUUGGGAGUGCGCUGCCGGACAGAAAACAGUGUCCAUCUUGGAUGAGUGCCCUAGAGCAGUCAACUCGCAAGUAUGCAGAGGAAGCGAUGAAAAGUGUAGUUUGUCCUGAACUAUGUCUUAGUUUCUACUCACUUGGCGAGGCGUACGACUUGUACAAUAUGUAUUCGUGAGAGAUCGGAUUACGGAUAAGGUAUGACAAGCGCCCUGUAAUGGUGUCAAUCCUCCAAGGCUCCAACCCCCAGGUUUGGCUUUAUCUGCCUUAUUUUCUUUUGUUCCUUCUGGAUGAUACUUAGUGAUUUAGUGCAUGGAUGCACAACAGGGAGAUUGGAUGCUAGAUUUGCUAAGUUCUGUGAACAUGUUAGAUGGAACUAAAUUAAGCAUGCUAUUUGCUGAUUUUUUUUCUCAUAUGCACACACUAACGGUGGCUACAUGGUCGCUAAUUGAAAUUCUUUCUUGAUGUAAAUUGUAUCUGGAACAGCCAAAUAGGGAAAUUAGUGUUUGUUUUUUCUGAUGGAACAGAGAAACCACAUGAUGCAUGGAUGGGGAAAAAAAUCUUAGUAUUGGCCACCUCCUUCGUUGCAAAAUUUCAGACUCCCAAACACGAUGACAGAAUGUCGUGGCUACUGAAUGUGUUGGUCCUGCUGUAUUUAGCUACCUGUUAUACUACUAUAACUACCAUAUCUGGCUAUUAGAUUCCAUCUUAGGACCAAGUUCGCAUUUGAGGAACAAUAUAUGAACAUGCACCAAUGAAAAGUGUGGUAAUUUACCUGCGGUGGCAGUUAAUUAUUAUUAAUGCGUGAAAUCAUGCCAAUCAAACUGGACAGCUCAUCCUAGGAUAAAUUAGGAUAUCAAUUUGUAAUCCUUUGUGCAUUACCAUAGAGUGUAUUUAUCAACAUGGACAGCAUGAGCGUACAAUUAUUAGCGUAUAUGAAAAUUUACUUGACCUUUAUAUUAGUUUUCUUAGUAUUUUUCUUUUAAAGAAGUUUAUGCUCUUAAUUAUCAUCAUUCCUCUUAUUAGACCGAAGAUUUAAGAGAUAGAGUCCACUAGAAAGUGCUCGAGGAGGAUUGUUUGGGGGGUUCUACAAUUUUCUUGGUAAUAUGCAAUGGUAAAUAUAACUGAAUAUUCUGCCAAUUUUGUCACAAAAUGAUAUAACUGUAUGAGAACUACUAUAUAUCUACUGUAAUCACCCUGUUAUUUUUGUCUCUUUCAUUCUUUUCGAAAUCCUUUGUGGAUUUCAGUAACUAUAUGAGAACCAGAUGAAGUGUUUGCACCUUUGAUUCAUCUUUUUGCCUCACACCGGUGCAAAAAUCACAUUAAUUUCCCCCUGCUAUUACCAAUAUCAUGAAUAUCUGUAGGGUCCUCUGGGUAGAGCACACCAAUUAAAUCAACGUGAAGACAGUCUCCUACAGGAAGAUGAGUUCCUCUUCAGUUCCAUGUAAAUUUAUUACAGCGAGGAGGUCAUCAUCAUGUCUAAACUGCGGACGGGAAAGUCAGCAUCACCUCACCUUUUGUUGAGUAGCAACAAUCGAGUAGUGGUAGUCAGCUUCAAAUCAUUUGAUGUUUAGGUUCCGAUUCUCUCUUAUCUGAAUUGUUGCAUGCAGCUUUCAGUUUGUAGCAGGUUUCCUUCUUAUUACUACCAUCUUGCACAUUUAUAUAUGUGUGUGUUUACAUAAAUUCA